Molecule: ribosomal RNA, 403 nt
Filed under: uncultured bacterium
Lineage: Bacteria
Description: partial 16S ribosomal RNA
Rfam family: Bacterial small subunit ribosomal RNA
Source: RNAcentral
AUUGAACGCUGGCGGCAGGCCUAACACAUGCAAGUCGAGCGAGCGGCGGACGGGUGAGUAAUGUAUGGGGACUGCCUGAUAGAGGGGGAUAACUACUGGAAACGGUAGCUAAUACCGCAUACCAUCGGAUAGCCCAGAUGGGAUUAGCUAGUAGGUGAGGUAAUGGCCCACCUAGGCGACGAUCCCUAGCUGGUCUGAGAGGAUGAACAGCCACACUGGGAAUGAGACACGGUCCAGACUCCUACGGAGGCAGCAGUGGGAAAUAUUUCACAAUGGGCGCAAGCCUGAUGCAGCCAUGCCGCGGGUGUGAAGAAGGCCCUAGGGUUGUAAAGUACUUUCAGUCGGGAGGCGUUACCGGCAGAAGAAGCACCGGCUAACUCCGUGCCAGCAGCCGCGGUAAUUC